CCUGUAAGAUUUUGACAAAAUUUCAUCUCGGAUUUGAUUCAUGAUCAGGUUUAAAUUAUUUUAGACAUCUCUACCUUUCCCAUUUCUGUCAAUACCGAAGAAUCUCUGGAAGAAGAUCUAAAAACAAUCAGAUCUGGCGCUUUUUCAUUAAACGGAGUGUUGGUUUCAUGGCGAUUCUUUUUGAGCAGUCUACUGAAUAUCGCAGGUGUUUAUGCCAAUGUGAACUCUGUAUGUAAAUUGAAAAGGAGAUGAGACUAGAAAGCAUGAGACUUUGUGGUUGGAGUUUUGAAUUCUCGAAAACUUCUUGCAGGCCAUCUGUGAGAACAUUACCAAAAAGGUUAUCUGCUAAACUUACCUCUGCAAAUUUGGAUGUUACCCAACUGGAGCUUGGCGUGGUUGGUAUUUUUAUCAGUCUGUGCAAAUUAGGGUGGCAGUUUGGCUAUCAUAGACUCUGGAUUUUUUGGAUCUUUGCAGCGGUGUACAUAAUUGUACACAUCAAUGUAAAUUAAAAAAAUUUAAAAAUGAAAAUUAUAUAGUCAUAUGAGUACUCUUUUUGUAGCUCUCGGAAAGAGUUUUCCGAAUAUAUAAAGUUUGCG
Molecule: long non-coding RNA, 596 nt
Organism: Papaver somniferum (opium poppy)
Lineage: Eukaryota; Viridiplantae; Streptophyta; Magnoliopsida; Ranunculales; Papaveraceae
Exons: 4
Source: RefSeq, a predicted model, not a curated record